Molecule: transfer RNA, 73 nt
Filed under: Rickettsiales bacterium
Lineage: Bacteria; Pseudomonadati; Pseudomonadota; Alphaproteobacteria; Rickettsiales
Description: tRNA-Lys
Rfam family: tRNA
About the family: Transfer RNA (tRNA) molecules are approximately 80 nucleotides in length. Their secondary structure includes four short double-helical elements and three loops (D, anti-codon, and T loops). Further hydrogen bonds mediate the characteristic L-shaped molecular structure. tRNAs have two regions of fundamental functional importance: the anti-codon, which is responsible for specific mRNA codon recognition, and the 3' end, to which the tRNAs corresponding amino acid is attached (by aminoacyl-tRNA synthetases). tRNAs cope with the degeneracy of the genetic code in two manners: having more than one tRNA (with a specific anti-codon) for a particular amino acid; and 'wobble' base-pairing, i.e. permitting non-standard base-pairing at the 3rd anti-codon position.
Source: RNAcentral
GAAUAUAUAGCUCAGUGGUUAGAGCGUUGAACUUUUAAUUCAAGGGUCUUGGGUUCGAAUCCCAAUAUAUUCA